GGGAUAAGUCAACAAUUGGGUCGGGCAGGCUGGUGACGACGAGUGAGUGCCGUUCGUUUAAGGCUAAGUUUUAAAUGGAUCGGGCAACUCGCGACGCGAAUGAUGGAAGCGAAAGGUGAAUUCGAGAGUUCGAUAAGCUUGAACUUGUACGAAAAUGAGAAUUUUGCUGAGAAGAGAGGGUAUUAAAUUCUUCGGCUAUUCUGAAAAAUAUAAUUGGAUGAAAUAUUUUUUGUAACAUUACUUUUUUUUCCUCGCCCUUUGAAUUGACAAAAACUCUAUUGACUUUCAUCGGAUCGCUCGAUCGUGAAAAAUGUCUCUCCAUCCUCCAUAAAACUUUGCAAUAAAUAAAGAUGAAAAGAAAAGAAGAAGAAGAAAAAGAAGAUAGAAUGAUAGGUCCGACGAGAGAAGACUUUUUCACGUUAUGACACCAUUUUAGUCAACUUCAUACACUUUAGAGAUAAAUAAAUAAAGGAAUAACGUACGAGCCGAGGAGCACGAUUGUUGACGAGGGGUAAAAUUAGCAGCAAGAAUAAUAAUCCCACGUCGAAGGAAUCACGCCGAAACUCGCAAAACUUUCCUACGUCAUAAUUAUAAACCAAAGUUUCGUAAUUAUCCUUAGCAUGCUCGAUCAAUAUUUAUACCAGAGGAUUCAAACAUUCUGUCAAUAAUUACGUUCAUUCUAAAGCUGGAUAGUUUAGUGAAUUAAGAAAAUUCUUGUAUAUUUACACGUGUCAGCAAGUCAUUAACUCUCGAGUAAAUCUCUCACGUGGAUCGGUUGUAAAGGGAAGUUGCUUAUUAAUUAAUUACUAUUGAUUGCCGCGUGUGAUUAUUUCAAUACACGCCGUUUCGAUUUGAUUCCAUCUCUUUUCGAUCGAUCGCAGAUUUAUUUUAAAAAACUCAAUCCCUCUCGUGCGUUAAAAAUUAUCAAUUAAAUAGAUCUCAUUAAAAUUUCCUCUCUUCCAAGAUUUUCCAUCUCCAAAAUCUUCCCGUUCCCCGUAUUCGAUUCAAUCCAUCGAAAUCCUCAAACUCGAAAUAAAUAGAAGACAACAUCCAACGUUCUGCUCGAAUUCCUAAUACAUUCUCGAUCGAUCCAACUAACCACGAAUUAAUAUAUCACGGAAAGCAUGGAUUGGUUUCGCCGAACAGUCGAGCGAGCUCGAAAUGAAACUUCUGAACACGAAAAUCGAUCAAUUGUUCACGGAUAUCUGGGAAUCGAUGUUACUUCGAUGGAUAAAUUGACGGUUGAACAGGGGAUUGACACCGAGUGGGAACGGUGGACACGUGUCGAUGAAGAUCGUCGCGUGCGUGAAGCCCAACCCGACCACGACGAGCCUCGAACUCGAAUCGGGCGGCCAGUCUUCGCCAGAAAUAGGUCCCUGUCGUGCUUGUAUUUUUAAAUUAUUCCUCGAGACGACCUACGACAAUUACGUGGCACGCUGCAUCUUUUUUGGUGAUUAAAUUUAAGGCUUUGCGCAGCCCUCAAACUUUCGAAUAACGAAUAAGCGUAUCUAAACGAAUUUCCUUAUUUUCUUGUCAUUGAAAAGAUAAUAAGAAGUAAGAAAAUUAAAAAUUAAUCGUCUGAAACAACUUUUAUCAAUAAACGACGAAUUCACUCUAGAGAUUUCCAGUAGUAAAAUAUUCCUAAAUUUUCGACAAAGUUUUCGUUUCUCGAUCAAUUCAAUAAUAAUUAUUGAACAACAGAUCUGAGAUAAAAUCUACCUCCAACUUUGAAAUUAAAAAAAAAAAUUAAAAUCUAUUUGUACAAUUCUAAAGCCUUCAAAAUUCACAUAAUUCACAAAUUCACUCUGAAUUACUGAAAAAGAAAAGUCAAAAUAUAAGAGAACGGCUUAAUCGAAACGUUCACGAGAAAGAAAAGAAUACGAUGGAAGAAAGUAAUCGAAGAACACGAAUAGAGAGCCUCAAUGCAUCAUUCUCAAUGGCUCGUUGUAUCGAAUUAUUCCCAAUUCCGGAUUACCAUUAUCGUUGCAUUAACUUCCCUUCGAAUCGAAUCCCACCCUCUCUCUCAUUUCUCAAACGAUCGUGUUUUAAACGUUGAUGCAUGCACUCGAUCUGUUUCAAUUGGACGGUAUAAAUACAAUGGGCAAAAGUCGGGGAGCUACUCCUCGAAUAAACACAGACGUUUCCCGGCUUCGUUGGCACGAGGAUGAGAAAAUUCGUAGCGUGGAACACGAAAAUGACCGCAAGAAUUUCGGCGUGCGGGGGUGGACCGCAGUUCCCGCCAGAAAAUGGAGGGAAUUUCGUGUUUUAUUCCAACAGGUAACCGUGUUAGGGGAAUUUUUCCAAGUGGAACGAUGGUGGAUGGAAUGGAAAGUAACCAGAAAAAUCAGGUCGGUAAGUGAAUGUGUAACGAGUUGGCAUUGGAAAAAAUAUCGGUUGAGGAUUAUGUAAGAGAGAUGUAGCAGAAUCUACAAGUUGAAAGUUAUAUAUCUUGUGUGCAAGAUUUUGUAAGAUAUCGUUGUUAUUUUGAACAGGAGAAAAUUGGAAGACAAACUUUAUAAUUUGUUUAAUUCACUUCUGAAGUCUCGUUUAUUUUAUUUUCUCUUCGAAUUUUUCUCGAGUUCCAGUUGAAAAGAAAAAAAAUCUAAAGAAGUUUCUACGCUAUGAAGCGCCGAAUUAAUUAAGAGUUGUAUGGAAUAAUUGAAUGUUUCAGAAUUUGCUUUGACGAACUUGUAAAAGAAUUUAUCAUGAUGUAUCGAUAAAAUUUUAUCAAAAGUAAGUCGAAUGAAUGAAAUAAAAGUUUAAUGGAUAUGACUUAAAA
Long non-coding RNA from Apis cerana (Asiatic honeybee), 2779 nucleotides. RefSeq lists it as uncharacterized. NCBI's taxonomy places the organism in Eukaryota, Metazoa, Arthropoda, Insecta, Hymenoptera, Apidae. The record is from RefSeq and is a predicted model, not a curated record.